Stomoxys calcitrans (stable fly) is the source of this 300-nucleotide long non-coding RNA. RefSeq lists it as uncharacterized. The record is from RefSeq and is a predicted model, not a curated record. Lineage: Eukaryota; Metazoa; Arthropoda; Insecta; Diptera; Muscidae. The transcript has 2 exons.
UAUUGUAAAAGAACUGCACGUAUAUUAAAAAUGAAUUUCUUGAAUAUUUUCGUAUUUAUUGCCGUUAUUUUGGCCAUAUUCACCGUCCCAAUCGAUGGCAGAAGGAAGGGCGGUAAAAAAGGUAGCAGCGACAAAUAUUGGAGGGCAGGGGCCCACGUUGCCGGAAAGGCCGUUGAAGGAGUAGCUGCUGCAGCAGUGCAACAAGCUGGUUAACUUACAUUUCUGUAGAAAGUGUUGCUUGCAGGAUGAUUAUCGUACCUUACAUUUCUAAAUCAAAAUAAAUGCUUUAAGAAUAUAAAA